RNAcentral lists this long non-coding RNA (526 nucleotides) under Trifolium pratense (red clover). Its description in RNAcentral is "long non-coding RNA (TPRA_LNC001095)". The record is from RNAcentral. Lineage: Eukaryota; Viridiplantae; Streptophyta; Magnoliopsida; Fabales; Fabaceae.
AAUCAGAAUUUCUCAGUGGUUUAUUCAUAUAUUUCUGAAAUUAUAUGAUACUGCAGUUCUAUUAACUGCUAUUCAGUUUCUACAAUUCCGAUAUUUGUUCUAACAAUAAAACACAUAUAAAAUAACAGAGAACCACAUUUCACAUCACCACCAUUAUCCAGCUAUAGUGCAGCGUCCCAAGUCUCCUCUCUCAUGCUCAUAGAGUCAGAUUCAUUAUCUUCUAACUUUACUCGUAAUCACAAACGCUUGUUGCCUCACCCUUUAUCGCCAAGCCUCACCUUGUGGAAAAAAAAUCAUGAUAAUGCCUGUACAGAAGGUCAGAGUUAACUUUAAAUAUAUGAAUAUUAGUUUGUGUGCCUAUGUUAUGUUGAACCAUCAGAAGACAGAUUAGAAUUAAUUUCAAAAGAAACUCCCAAUUUGAUCCUUGACUUGAAACUGAUAUGUCCAAUUCCAUUUAGGAGGAAUCAGACAAUUAGUACCAAGAACUCCGUCUUGCCACGAGUUUAUCCUCAUUUGAAUACCAGGC